GGUGAACGCUGGCGGCAUGCCUAACACAUGCAAGUCGAACGAACGCACAGUAAGAUUGCGCCUUCACGGUUGGCGAGGGGCGGGUGGGUGAGGCAUACAUCGGAAUCUUCUAUUUCGGGGAGGACUACGUAGGGACACUUCUAAUACUAGCUAAUAUUACCAACGGCUUAAAUCAAUGGUUCUACAGACCUUUCGUGACACAAAUAGCUGGUGUCGGAUUAGCUAGUUGGCGGGGUAAGGGCCCACCAAGGCGACGAUCCGUAGCUGAUCUGAGAGGAUGAUCAGCCACACUGGAACUGAGACACGGUCCAGACUCCUACGGGAGGCAGCAGUGGGGAAUAUUGGACAAUGGGCGCAAGCCUGAUCGAGCAAUGCCGCGUGGGUGAAGAAGGCUUUCGGGUUGUAAAGCCCUUUUGUUGGGGAAGAAAAACAGCAGGUGUAUACCCCGAUGUUCUGACGGUACCUAAAGAAUAAGCACCGGCUAACUUCGUG
RNAcentral lists this ribosomal RNA (492 nucleotides) under uncultured bacterium. RNAcentral's name for it is "partial 16S ribosomal RNA". It matches the Rfam family "Bacterial small subunit ribosomal RNA", at positions 28 to 507 of the family's 1533-position model. The record is from RNAcentral.